Phoenix dactylifera (date palm) is the source of this 327-nucleotide non-coding RNA. Lineage: Eukaryota; Viridiplantae; Streptophyta; Magnoliopsida; Arecales; Arecaceae. The record is from RefSeq and is a predicted model, not a curated record.
GCGCGGAAACCCUGGGGAUCGAGGGAUUUCUUGGAGAAAAUGAUUUGAUUUCGAGACAUUUUGUGGUUGUUGAGAUUUGCUGGAGCUGAGUUCUUGCUGCGGAAACCCUCGAAAUUGAGACAUUUUGUGGAGGAAACGCUGUAGUUAUUGACGUACGACAAACCCUUGUUUGAGGUUAUUGCCACCAGAUGAGAGAAAAUAUACCUUCAGUGAUACUGUACUGUGAUAAACUAUACCACCAGGAAGCAUGAGGGGACCAGGCGUUGUAGUCCUAAUCCUAUCAUGGAUCAUCACCUUAUAUACUCUCUGGCAAAUGGUAGAGAUGCA